RNAcentral lists this ribosomal RNA (329 nucleotides) under uncultured prokaryote. Its description in RNAcentral is "bacterial SSU rRNA". It matches the Rfam family "Bacterial small subunit ribosomal RNA", at positions 26 to 352 of the family's 1533-position model. The record is from RNAcentral.
AGAUUGAACGCUGGCGGCGUGCCUAACACAUGCAAGUCGAGGCGGUAACAGGUGUAGCAAUACAUGCUGACGAGCGGCGAACGGGUGAGUAAUGCUUCGGAAUCUACCCACGGGUGGGGAAUAACCAACCGAAAGGUUGGCUAAUACCGCAUAAGUCCUACGGGGGAAAGCGGGGGAUCGAAAGACCUCGCGCCGGUGGAUGAGCCGAAAGCCGGAUUAGCUAGUUGGUAGGGUAAUGGCCUACCAAGGCGACGAUCCGUAGCUGGUCUGAGAGGAUGAUCAGGCCACACUGGGACUGAGACACGGCCCAGACUCCUACGGGGAGCAGC